This is a long non-coding RNA of Thalassophryne amazonica, 915 nucleotides long. RefSeq lists it as uncharacterized. Lineage: Eukaryota; Metazoa; Chordata; Actinopteri; Batrachoidiformes; Batrachoididae. The transcript has 3 exons. The record is from RefSeq and is a predicted model, not a curated record.
CAUUUGUAACUCUGCCAAGCAGUGAUGCAGUACUGAUGAAGCUCAUUUAGAUUCUAUGUGAGGGAAUUUGCUGUCUUUUGGCAAGCGAUCCUGUGGUAAUUUGGGCAUUUUGCCAACAUCCUCAUGCAUCUUAAUUCUUGGUUGAUAUUCUCUCUGUUGCAUUGAACCAAAGCUGUAUUUCAGGUAUAUUGUUGCUUUGGUUUUGUGUGUUAUUGGUGGUUCUGAAGUUCCUGUGCUGCAUCAGCACUUAUGUUGCAUUAACCUUAACAUCAUUCUUACUUCAGUGUUCAAGAGCUCAGUUCCAAAGGUUUGGAUACUGAUGCACUCUUAUCAACUGCAAACCUGAAGGCUGUCAUUUUAAUUGGUGGACUUCCAGCUCAUUCCUUUUCAUUCUAGCCGAUGUGAUGUGUAUCUUGACAUACCACCUACAUGCCUGAUGGUUAAGCGUGUCUGAUGCAUUUAAUAAUAAGUUUAGUUAUGUGGCUUUAAGCUGCUGGGAAUUCUCCACCUUGACCACACAGUCAGCUUGCUGCCCAAAUAACAGUGUGUCUUUAUCAUAGUUUGACACAACGCUGGUGCUGCUUAGGCACGCCUGCCAGUGAAGGUUUGAGGAGGGUAAUAAAGGGUUAGUUCUGGGGUUUGUGAAAUUAGAGUUAAGAGCAGUCAUUUUUUUAUGUUUAUUAGUGGAGUAUUUCAAUUUUUUCUCUUUUGGAAAGUAUUUGUUUGCAGUAUACACAAGGAAGUUGUGAGCUGUCUCAAACACAUUCCUUCCACUUCCAUCAGUUCCGUCUUAAUGUGAACUAUGGUUCCAGCUUAUCGAGGGAAACAUCUGCACAAUGCAGACAGAUGGUACAUCAUGGCCUUAUGUUCAGCCUUCUGGGGGCCUAGUGGCAUCUCUGGUAGAGCAGGCUGAGG